Non-coding RNA from Trachymyrmex cornetzi, 46 nucleotides. The record is from Rfam. Lineage: Eukaryota; Metazoa; Arthropoda; Insecta; Hymenoptera; Formicidae.
CCAUCGGCCUUUUUCAAGGCUACUCUUGUUUUCUUCCACAUGCUUU